AGGGCCGCGGUACUUUGACCGUGCGAAGGUAGCAUAAUCAGUAGCGUUUUUAAUUGAAAGCUUGUAUGAAUGGUUGGAUGAGGGACAGACUGUCUUCUUUUUAUUAAAAGAAUUUAACUUUUAAGUGAAAAGGCUUAAAUUUUUUGGAGUGACGAUAAGACCCUAUAAAACUUUAUAUAGUUCUUGUUUUAUUGCUAAUAAAGUUUAACACAAUUUACUGGGAAUUGUAUUUCGUUGGGGCAACGUUGAUAUAAGUUAAUAUAAUUGUUUUAUGGAUUUAAUAAUGAUUAUUAGAUUUUGAUCCUUUAUUAGGGAUUAAAAGGUUAAGUUACUUUAGGGAUAACAGCGUAAUUUUCUUUGAGAGUUCUUAUCGACAAGAUUAGUUGCGACCUCGAUGUUGAAUUAAAAUUUCAGGUUGGUGUAGCCGUUGGCCUGGUAGGUCUGUUCGACCUUUAAAAUUUU
Molecule: ribosomal RNA, 462 nt
Filed under: Periclimenaeus bidentatus
Lineage: Eukaryota; Metazoa; Arthropoda; Malacostraca; Decapoda; Palaemonidae
Description: partial 16S ribosomal RNA
Rfam family: Archaeal large subunit ribosomal RNA
Source: RNAcentral